UUUUUAAAAACUUAUCUAAUGCUGGUUUAUAAUACAGUAAGAUUUUAGGAGUACAGUUGAACAUUUAUGCAUGUGUGGGUAUGUACAGCUCCCCACUCUUACCAACAGUGUUCCUGUGUCAACAAAGAAAUGGAACCCUCUUUCUACCACCAUGUCCUAAGGUUUUAAGGUUAGUAAAAUGUGUAUAAGUGCUCCCAAUACAGCUAGGAUGUAUUAUUAGUUGUAAGUCACUUGGUUCCCCCUAGACCUCUCUGAUCACCAAACCAGCAUGAAGUCUGAGGCACUUUUUAAAAGUAAUUUUCAGAAGCUUGAGGCACUUUUUAAAAAGUUACUUUUGUCACAAGAUUGAUUGCUUUCAUUCUGUAGUUCUUAUAUGAGUAACACUCAUAUAUCUUGUAAUUGUCUUUUUUUUAAUUAGUGAUUUCAUUAUGAUCAAUAAGAUUGUGGAAUAAGAGGGGUACAACUCCAUACAAUUUCUUUCAACAGAGUUCCAUAUCCCAUCCCUUCCAUUGGAAGUUUCCCUGUUCUUUCUUCCUCUGAGAGUAUGAACCAAAGAUCUUUAUGGAGUACAGAAGGAGGGAGAUGUGGCUUCUGUAAUUGCUUCUUUACUGGACAUGGAUGUUGAUAGGUCAAUCAAUACCUCCAGCCUAUUUCUAUAUUUCCCUAUUAGUGUAGGGCUCUGGGGAGGUGGGGAGGUCAUCUGUCCAGGGAAGUCAGGUUGGUAUCAUGGUAGCACCUGCAACUUGGUGGCUGAAAAGCAUCGAUAUAAAGCAGAACAGGAUUGAUGGGGUUCACUGUUAAUGAUAAUCGUCUUUCACUUCUUAUUUUACUUAACGUAAUUGAGGAGUAGAAGUUUUAUCUUAAUGCACUAAUAUUUGUGUAUUAGUUUUUUUUUUUUUUAAAUCUACCUUCAGUGCUUAUUAAUCAUUGGAAGCUUUUGCUUAUGUGUUGCAGAAAAUCCUGCUUCUCAAGUGUCUUAAGUAAUAAGGACAAUUAUAAACCCACAGCACAAGAAAUUCAAGCAGGGUGGACUCCACAGCCCAGUUUGUCAAGAAGGAACCAGAUUCUGUCUAUCUUUCUGCUUUGCCUUCUUGAAUGCUGGCUUCAUUCUAAAAUUGGUGCAGGAUAGUGGUGACUAUUUCAAGCACCCAGACAGACCUGGCAGUAGCUAGACAAAGAAGAUGAGCUUCUUUUUCUCUAUCUCCUCUGAAGUCUUGAAGAACCGUUUCUCAAACUUCAAGUCUUUUUGAGUCUUAUGGACAGAAUAGAUUGGGUGGCCAUUCUCCCCUGUGAAUUACCUCCCCUUUAAUCAAUCACCUGUAUUGAUUUUUUUGUUUGUUUUUACCCUAACACUUCUAAACUUUGUCUUCAGGCAGCAGCAAAGCUUGAGUCUGGGCCCUCAGAGUCUUAGAAACUUAAACCUUUUUGCAUAGCUGUUCUCUUUUCUCACCCCCACCCCUAGUCUGUGUAUGCUUUGGGAACAGAAAUACUGGGAAGUCCUUAGCACUGACCUCUAAUUUUGUGUUUUUUCCCUCCUUCCUUCCUUCCUUCCUUCCUUCCUUCCUUCCUUUCUUUCUUUCUUUCUUUCUUUCUUUCUUAGAAUUUAUUUAUUUAUGAGAGAGAUAGGAGGAGAGAGAGAAAGAAGAACCAGAUAUCACCCUGGUACAUAUGUUGCCGGGGAUUGAAUUUGGGACCUCAUAGUGAGGUUCCAAUGCAUUAUCCACUGUGCCAUUUCCCAAACCAUAUCUAGUUUUGUGUUUUUCAACAUUUAGAGGAUGUAGUGUUUCUUCUGGUAUCUUCAUUUGUAGGGAUGUAACCCUCUAUCUCUGCCAGCUAAAAAUAGUGCUUAAUUAAGAACAUAUUUAAAGAGCUAAAGCUGAAACUUUAAAGUUUGUAUGCUUCAGCACCUUUGAGUGUUAUAAGUAAAUGGUUUUUGUAUUUUCACAUUUGAUAAAGUAGUUUUAUAUCCUUUUUUUGAAAUCCAUAAUAUUUAAUUAAAUAUCGGCAGUACAACAUAACAUCUGUAUGACAGAAACUGCUUAUGUUUUGUUAAUAUAUACAAAAAUAUUCUGAUUUUAUCAUUUUUUCUAUUUUAGUUAUCUUUACUGAUUGGAUAGAGAUAUUCAGAUAUUGAGGGGAGGGUGGGGAGAUAGAGAGGAAGAGAGAUAGAGAGACACCUGUAGCCCUGUCUCUACAUUGUGAAGCUUUCCCCUUGCAGGUGGGAACUGGGGCUUGAACCUGGGUCCUUGUGCACUGUAACAUGCUCUCUCAAACAGGUAUGCCACCACCCGGCCCCCUAUUUUAUUUAUUUUUUCACUUGUAGAAAAAUCCAUUUUAUUAAUGUCAAGUUAAUAGUUUUCUCUUGGGAUUAGAUUCCCUUAUUCCCCCCCCCCCCCAAUUCUAUCCUCAGGUCCUGAUGGAAUUGGAGUUCAGAAAACCUCUAUUCAUCUUCCCCCUAACAUUUACCCCUCUGGGAGUAUGAAUCAAAUAAAAAAUAUUUAUUUAUUUAUUAUUGGAUAGAGACAGAGAAAUUGAAAGGGGAGGAAGAGAGAGAGUUAGAGAGACAUCUGCAACCAUGUUUCACCACCUGUGAAGCUUUCCUCCAGGGGCUUGAACCUUGGUCCUCGUGUACCGUAAUGUAUGUGCUUAACCAGAUGUGCCACUGUCUGGUCCCUGAACAAAAUUCCUAAUAGGGUGCAGAAGGUGGACGGUCUGGCAUCUAUAAUUGCUUCUCUGAUGGACAUGGGCAUUGAAGGGUUGGUCCAUAUCCCCAACCUGUUUCUGUCUUUCCCUAGUGGGGUAGGGCUCUGGACAAGUGAGGUUCCGGGAUACAUUGGUGAGGUCAUCUGGCCAGUGAAGACAGGUUGGUGUCAUGGCAACAUCUGGAACUUGGUGGCUGAAAUCAGUAAGAUAUAAAAAGGACAAAAUGUUUAAUUAACAGGAACCAUAAAUUAGGAAUAGGGAUUUUAGGGUGAAUAGAAGUUAGAAGGUUUUCUCUCUCUUUUUUUUUUGCCUCCAGGGUUAUUACUAUGCAUCAACUGCUCCUGGAGACCAUUUUCCCCAUUGUGUUGCUCUUGUUGUUAUUAUUAUUGUUGUCAUUGCUGUUGUUGUUUGACAGGACAGAGAGAAAUCAAGAGAGGAGGGGAAAACAGAACGGGUAAGAGAAAGACACCUGCUGAACUGCUUCACCACUUGUGAAGCAACCCCCCUGUAGCUGGGGAGCCACGGGCUUCAACCAGAAGCUUAAGCCAGACCUUGUGCUUUGCGUCAUAUACACUUAACCCACUUUGCUACUGCAUGGCCACAGAUGUCUUUUCUUUUUUACUUAUGUUCUUAGGGGCCCUUGGCUCAGUUAGAUAGGGCAGCAUGAGUCACAAGCCCUUGGUGCUAAACACAGUUUCAAAGCUCUUUCUUAUAUACCUAAUAAAACACCUACAAAUACAAAUUCCUAAGCCUCAAAAAACAUCUUUUAAAACAGUGACAGUAAAACUAAUGCAUGUGUAAUACAAACACAAUGUUUCUUUUUCAAAGUUGUAUUUUUUACUUAGUGAGUGAGAGGUAGAAUGCCAGUCUGGAUGUACAGUGUGAUGUUUCAAAGUUGGCAGAGGAUCAGAGGGUGGGGAUGUAUAUUGAGCAAAGGUGACACAGAGAUCAGAGCAGCAGUGGGACAUAGGAGUUCUAGGUAGAGGGGUGGAGGGGUAGCUAUUGUAAGCCAAGAUAAUCACAAAUAAAAAAGGCUGAAUAAAUAAAACAUAUCAUAAGUAAUAAGCAGUAACUGUUAACCCUCAGGAAAAAAUCAUAUUUGACAUCUAGAGAAGCUUUUUCCAGAUAUAUCAUUCAUUCAAACAGGUACAGGGUCUGUUUUGUUCAAAAGUAAAGCCUCACUAUCUAGAAAAAUGCCCGAAAGUACAACAGGGACUCGGUGAGUAGCAUGUAAACUAUGUUACCACUAGUUUUUAAUGUACUAGAUAUCUGAAAUAGAAUAAUGAAAGUGAAAGGACAUUCAGAAGAUCUAACAUCAUAGUCUGAGCUAUUUUCAUAAGUGUUUUCUAAAAGUGAGGGACAAAGAUAGAGCCACAAAAACCUACUGGGUUAUUCACAGAGGGAUUUCAUAAGUCUCAGAGUAAGUAUUAAGUCCUAAGGUUGUAUUUGGACCAUAAAUAUAUAGGAGAUGAUAUGCAGAAAGUAUCUUUGGACUUAUUUCUCUCAUGCCUCAGGCAGAUUCUAACAAAGAUGAGCUGGCAGUGCCAGGCAAAUGCCUUCCUGCCUGCUGAAGUGUCUGCUAUUUACUAUUUAUUUAGGAUUGUUUUCAAGCUAUGGUUGGCAUUUAUUUCAUCAGUCACUGAGCAGUUCUGGAAUGGAAAAACCUUACUCUGGAUUUUUUUAAAAAAUACUUUUUCAUGCCCUGUAUGUAGAAAAGCAUUUGUCUGAAGUGAAUUUGUUUUCCUCCCCUGUGUUCUGAGACCAGGUUUUAAGGUUCAGGAUGUUUCAGUCACCAUAGAGCUUUAGUUAAUAUUCACAUUUUUUUUUCUUCAAAAAAUAACCGAGAAUCUCACAUGCUAGAUCCAGUUUGUCUGCUUGAUCUCUGUUUCUUGGGAAUAUUUUCAAGAGAUUUUAUUGUUAAAGGUGCUCUGUAGUAGAGCACUUUUUAAGAAAUGUGAUCUGCUGUUAUUAAAUUGAGAUCAUAUCUUUACAUUAAAGGUACUAAAACAGCC
This is a long non-coding RNA of Erinaceus europaeus (western European hedgehog), 4715 nucleotides long. RefSeq lists it as uncharacterized. The transcript is spliced from 2 exons. Lineage: Eukaryota; Metazoa; Chordata; Mammalia; Eulipotyphla; Erinaceidae. The record is from RefSeq and is a predicted model, not a curated record.